AAAGCGGUACGUGAGCUGGGUUUAGAACGUCGUGAGACAGUUCGGUCCCUAUCUGUCGUGGGCGUAGGAUAUUUGAGGGGAGCUGCUCUUAGUACGAGAGGACCAGAGUGGACGAACCGCUAGUGUACCAGUUGUUACGCCAGUAGCAUGGCUGGGUAGCUAUGUUCGGAAGGGAUAAGCGCUGAAAGCAUCUAAGUGCGAAGCCCACCCCAAGAUUAGAUAUCCCUCCCUGGGGGUAACUCCAGGGCUAAAGGCUCCUUGAAGAUUACAAGGUCGAUAGGCCACAGGUGUACGCACAGCAAUGUGUUUAGCCGAGUGGUACUAAUAAGCCGUGAGACUUAAGAUG
Molecule: ribosomal RNA, 346 nt
Filed under: Candidatus Zhuqueibacterota bacterium
Lineage: Bacteria; Pseudomonadati
Description: candidate division KSB1 bacterium (freshwater sediment metagenome) partial 23S ribosomal RNA
Rfam family: Bacterial large subunit ribosomal RNA
Source: RNAcentral